AUGCACGCUGGCGGUAUGCUUAACACAUGCAAGUCGAACGGACUCUUCGGAGUUAGUGGCGGACGGGUGAGUAACGCGUGCGAAUCUGGCUUUGGGUUCGGGACAACCACUGGAAACGGUGGCUAAUACCGGAUGUGCCGAGAGGUAAAAGAGAAAUUGCCUGAAGAUGAGCUCGCGUCUGAUUAGCUAGUUGGUGAGGUAAAGGCUCACCAAGGCAGCGAUCAGUAGCUGGUCUGAGAGGAUGACCAGCCACACUGGGACUGAGACACGGCCCAGACUCCUACGGGAGGCAGCAGUGGGGAAUUUUCCGCAAUGGGCGAAAGCCUGACGGAGCAAUACCGCGUGAGGGAAGAAGGCUCUUGGGUUGUAAACCUCUUUUCUUAGGGAAGAACAAAAUGACGGUACCUAAGGAAUCAGCAUCGGCUAACUCCGUG
Molecule: ribosomal RNA, 434 nt
Filed under: uncultured bacterium
Lineage: Bacteria
Description: partial 16S ribosomal RNA
Rfam family: Bacterial small subunit ribosomal RNA
Source: RNAcentral